CCUACGGGUCGCACCAGUGGGGAAUAUUGGACAAUGGGCGGAAGCCUGAUCCAGCAACGCCGCGUGAGGGAUGACGGCCUUCGGGUUGUAAACCUCUUUCAGUACCGACGAAGCGUGAGUGACGGUAGGUACAGAAGAAGCACCGGCCAACUACGUGCCAGCAGCUGCGGUAAUACGUAGGGUGCGAGCGUUGUCCGGAAUUAUUGGGCGUAAAGGGCUCGUAGGCGGUUUGUCGCGUCGGGAGUGAAAACAUCCAGCUUAACUGGGUGCUUGCUUUCGAUACGGGUAGACUUGAGGUAUGCUGGGGAGAAUGGAAUUCCUGGUGUAGCGGUGAAAUGCGCAGAUAUCAGGAGGAACACCGGUGGCGAAGGCGGUUCUCUGGGCAUUACCUGACGCUGAGGAGCGAAAGUGUGGGGAGCGAACAGGAUUAGAUACCCUGGUAGUC
RNAcentral lists this ribosomal RNA (445 nucleotides) under uncultured bacterium. RNAcentral describes it as "bacterial SSU rRNA". It matches the Rfam family "Bacterial small subunit ribosomal RNA", at positions 338 to 795 of the family's 1533-position model. The record is from RNAcentral.